AACACUCGCAUAUAUAUUUAUUUGUAUGUAUAUUUCGAGGGUACUUGUUUGUAUUGGGUGCGUGUCACGAUUUGAUUCCUGUCUUUACGAGGCGACUUUAAUUGCUUUGGCCGUGCAAUCAGACGCGACCAAAAGCGCCAUCAAAUCGCGCGGAAAACGCGAGCUCACCCCUCGCGCUUAAAAUCACCUUAAUCGCCAAAUGCCAAAAAUUGGGUGCUGAGCUGCGAGGGCAGAGGUUAAAGGUUAGAGGGCGUAGUGGGCCUGAAGACUGUAGUAGCCUGAGCCUAAGUCCCAGUGUUAAGUGCGUUAGCAAGUGUGCAGGCGUCUGUGGUUCAGUUUAUGCCCAGAUCCAUAUCACGAAUUACAGUAAGUGAAUGCGAUUUGUUGUCUGCGACGUGAGAAGUGG
This 406-nucleotide long non-coding RNA is filed under the name Drosophila guanche. The record is from RNAcentral. Lineage: Eukaryota; Metazoa; Arthropoda; Insecta; Diptera; Drosophilidae.